AACCAGUCUUUUUCAAUUCUAUAAAGUAUCAAUCGGAGCUGUGUUUCAGCCUAACUACUGUAUUCUUCACAAACUAGUUGGGUUUCUUGUUCAGACAGACUGACAGAGAGAGAUGCCGCCGGGAUGGGGACCUGGACCAGGAGGGCUACCUCCAUCUCCUUUUGGGUGUUUCGGUUUCCUUUGUGAUGGGAUAUGCAGACUCAUAUCGUCAUGCUUUUAUGUACUGUGUUGUUGCUGCAUCCUACAAGAAUGCUGUGGACCAUUCUUUGGUGGACCCCCUGGUCCUGGUGGCCCACCUCCACGUCCCUUUUGAUCGGGAAGCUCUUUCAAUCUAUUGUGUAUUGAUUACUGUUUCGGUGCAUGUAUGUUUAUGGAAUAAAAUGGGUAGGAAUGAAGUUUUAAUUUGUGUGUUUAUGUUCAUGUCAAAUGCACCACUUAAUAAGGUAUGAAAUAAAGUUUACACAAAAAAUUUGAAGUAUUCAAAUUGAAAUUUACCAACCGAGGGUUGGUUCGUUGGUGUAUUCUGUAUUAGCUUAGCUGGUUCGUUGGUGUAUGCUUAUACACAGACAAUAAUUAAAUUAGCCCUGUAUUAGGAAUAUCUCUCCAUGAAUGAUAACAGAGAUGAAUGUGCAUUUGUUGCUCUA
Molecule: long non-coding RNA, 644 nt
Organism: Nelumbo nucifera (sacred lotus)
Lineage: Eukaryota; Viridiplantae; Streptophyta; Magnoliopsida; Proteales; Nelumbonaceae
Source: RefSeq, a predicted model, not a curated record